RNAcentral lists this ribosomal RNA (375 nucleotides) under uncultured bacterium. RNAcentral's name for it is "bacterial SSU rRNA". It matches the Rfam family "Bacterial small subunit ribosomal RNA", at positions 30 to 417 of the family's 1533-position model. The record is from RNAcentral.
AUUGAACGCUGGCGGCAGGCUUAACACAUGCAAGUCGAACGGAACCUUCGGGUUUAGUGGCGAACGGGUGAGUAAUACCUAGGAAUCUGCCUAUUAGUGGGGGAUAACGGCUCGAAAGGGUCGCUAAUACCGCAUACGUCCUACGGGAGAAAGAGGGGGAUCUUCGGACCUCUUGCUAAUAGAUGAGCCUAGGCCGGAUUAGCUAGUUGGUAGGGUAAAGGCCUACCAAGGCGACGAUCCGUAGCUGGUCUGAGAGGAUGAUCAGCCACACUGGAACUGAGACACGGCCCAGACUCCUACGGGAGGCAGCAGUGGGGAAUUUUGGACAAUGGGCGCAAGCCUGAUCCAGCCAUGCCGCGUGAGUGAAGAAGGCCU